This 211-nucleotide ribosomal RNA is filed under the name Escherichia coli. Its description in RNAcentral is "partial 16S ribosomal RNA". It matches the Rfam family "Bacterial small subunit ribosomal RNA", at positions 56 to 263 of the family's 1533-position model. Lineage: Bacteria; Pseudomonadati; Pseudomonadota; Gammaproteobacteria; Enterobacterales; Enterobacteriaceae. The record is from RNAcentral.
UGCAAGUCGAACGGUAACAGGAAGCAGCUUGCUGCUUCGCUGACGAGUGGCGGACGGGUGAGUAAUGUCUGGGAAACUGCCUGAUGGAGGGGGAUAACUACUGGAAACGGUAGCUAAUACCGCAUAAUGUCGCAAGACCAAAGAGGGGGACCUUCGGGCCUCUUGCCAUCGGAUGUGCCCAGAUGGGAUUAGCUUGUUGGUGGGGUAACGG